GCCAUUUGGGCUGCUCUUCCUAUGGAGUAGCACUCUUUUAUUCCUUUACUUUCAUAAUAAACUUGCUUUCACUUUAUGGACUUGCCCUGAAUUCAAUCUUGUGUGAGGCCCAAGAACCCCCUCUUGGAGUCUGGAUCGGGAGCUCUUUCAGUGAUGAAAACGAACAAACAACAAAAUCACCUCGUGCUGCUCAAGUUGGUGGUCAUUACUUCAUUUCGACUAUGUCAUCAGUACCUGGACAUGAGGACACUUGAAACACUUUCAAUAUGAGCUCUAGAGCUUCUGAUGGUGUCAACUUGGCUGAAUUAAGAAAUAUCUAGCAAUCUGGUAAAGCAUUAUUUUUGCUUGUGUCUGUGAAGAUGUUUCCAGAGGAGACUAAUAUGUGAGUCUGAGUGGAGAAGAUGAGAAGAUCUUUCCUCAGUGCGAGUGGGCAUCCAAAAAGGCAAGACCAGAAAGAACAAGAACAGAGGAAAGGUGAAUGUGUGCACCCAUCUGCUGAAGUUGGAAUACAUAAUUCUCCUAUCCCUGGACAACAACUCCAGGCUCCCCUAUCUUUGGAGUCGAGAACUUAUACAAGUGGUCCUUGAGUUCUCAAGCCUUUGGUCUUGAACUAAGAGUGACAUCAUUCAUUGGCUUCCCUCAUUCUGAGGCCUUUGGACUUAGACUGAGCAAUGCUACCAGAAUUCCAGGGUCUCCAGCUUGCAGAUGGCCUGUUACAGGACUUCUCAGCCUCCGUAAUCAUGUCAGCCAACCUCUCUAACAAGUCUCCUCUCAUAUAUCUGUGUCUAUAUCUACAAAUUCUGUCUCUCUGGAGAACCCUGAUUAACAAAACAUGGUCAUAUGAGUGAACUGACUGCAGAGUCCCUUCUUACAACUCAAUUCAUAGGAACUACUUAAUUUUUAUUCAUACAUUUUAGUUACCUAACAUAUCCCUUACUAAUUUCAAAUUACACAUCACAGUUUCUAAGCAGCUCAUUUGUACACAUAUAUCAAUGUAAUCAGAGAACAAAUUCAUGAAUUCUUCCUAUAAAUAUGAAUUUAUAUGAAAGUCUCAUAAAAGUGUGCAAGUAUGUAAAAAAUAUCAACUUCUAAGUCCAUAACAAGAAAAAGGGACCCUGUAGAAAACUUGAAAUUUGAAAUAAAGCAAAGUAUUCUUUGGCUAAAGCUAACCUUCUCUUAAACAUUAACACGUGUUUACUAGCACACUUCUUGUGGAAAUGCACCACCACCUAGCUGACAUACAACACUAGGAAACUCAUGAAUGCUCUUGAAAUACCAGAUGCUUUUCUUUUUGUAAGAGUUCAUAACAACUCAUAACAUACUUGCCCUUUCCCCCUGGAAUCAAGCAUCAAUUUGAUAGCACCUAA
Rhinopithecus roxellana (golden snub-nosed monkey) is the source of this 1367-nucleotide long non-coding RNA. RefSeq lists it as uncharacterized. The transcript is spliced from 3 exons. NCBI's taxonomy places the organism in Eukaryota, Metazoa, Chordata, Mammalia, Primates, Cercopithecidae. The record is from RefSeq and is a predicted model, not a curated record.